RNAcentral lists this ribosomal RNA (803 nucleotides) under Limosilactobacillus vaginalis. RNAcentral's name for it is "bacterial SSU rRNA". It matches the Rfam family "Bacterial small subunit ribosomal RNA", at positions 61 to 833 of the family's 1533-position model. Lineage: Bacteria; Bacillati; Bacillota; Bacilli; Lactobacillales; Lactobacillaceae. The record is from RNAcentral.
GCCCAACUGAUAUGACGUGCUUGCACUGAAUUGACGUUGGAUUACCAGUGAGCGGCGGACGGGUGAGUAACACGUGGGCAACCUGCCCUGAAGUGGGGGAUAACAUCUGGAAACAGGUGCUAAUACCGCAUAACAACGAAAACCACAUGGUUUUCGUUUCAAAGAUGGUUUCGGCUAUCACUUCAGGAUGGGCCCGCGGUGCAUUAGCUAGUUGGUAAGGUAACGGCUUACCAAGGCAAUGAUGCAUAGCCGAGUUGAGAGACUGAUCGGCCACAAUGGAACUGAGACACGGUCCAUACUCCUACGGGAGGCAGCAGUAGGGAAUCUUCCACAAUGGGCGCAAGCCUGAUGGAGCAACACCGCGUGAGUGAAGAAGGGUUUCGGCUCGUAAAGCUCUGUUGUUGGAGAAGAACGUGCGUGAGAGUAACUGUUCACGCAGUGACGGUAUCCAACCAGAAAGUCACGGCUAACUACGUGCCAGCAGCCGCGGUAAUACGUAGGUGGCAAGCGUUAUCCGGAUUUAUUGGGCGUAAAGCGAGCGCAGGCGGUUGCUUAGGUCUGAUGUGAAAGCCUUCGGCUUAACCGAAGAAGGGCAUCGGAAACCGGGCGACUUGAGUGCAGAAGAGGACAGUGGAACUCCAUGUGUAGCGGUGGAAUGCGUAGAUAUAUGGAAGAACACCAGUGGCGAAGGCGGCUGUCUGGUCUGCAACUGACGCUGAGGCUCGAAAGCAUGGGUAGCGAACAGGAUUAGAUACCCUGGUAGUCCAUGCCGUAAACGAUGAGUGCUAGGUGUUGGAGGGUUU